This 306-nucleotide ribosomal RNA is filed under the name Triticum aestivum (bread wheat). RNAcentral describes it as "partial small subunit ribosomal RNA". Lineage: Eukaryota; Viridiplantae; Streptophyta; Magnoliopsida; Poales; Poaceae. The record is from RNAcentral.
AUGGCCGUGUCCAGGGGCGUGGUGACCCCCACACACGCCUCUACCAGCGCCAUGGUGGCCGCGUCCAACAGCGCGACGGAUAGCCUGCAUCUGGCGACGGAAACGCCGGAGUCCACCCACUCCAUGGAAGCGACGACGGUAGCAACGAUCAUCCUUUGCGGAUCAGACGGAGGAAUAAGGAGACGAGGCCUGUCAUCUCACCGUCGGCGAGUUGCUCCUCCUUUCCUCUCGUUUCUCUGUUGUUUUUGCUCUCUGGUAGUUCUGGCGUGCGCGAUAACGUGUUCGAGACACUCCCAUCACCCAUAA